GAUGAGAAAAUGAAACACAGUUGCUGAAAUGCAGACGAGUGGUUUAAUUGAGGCCGUAAAAGGGAAAUUGCGAAAAACUAGGGUGGGAGGUGCACAGUAGUAAGCAAGCAAAAGCUAGGAAAUAGGUUUCAUUUAUUAAGGCAGAGAUACAAUAAUAGCAUCACAAAAGAACAGUUUAUUCCUUUGUGUGCGAUAUUUCUGAAUCCAUAACAAAACGUUGGUCCAGAAGAAGGCAUACGGAGGAUAAAGAACUCUCGGCAGUUGCUCAAUAAUUGUUCCAUCACUUUGUGCAAUAAAACAUUUACGGUUUCAAGGGUUAUCAUGUUGAUAAGGAUCUCUUAUCUCCGGACUGGCGAGUUGGAUAGGCCCUUUGCAUGGGAGUUUGACCAACAUUUUCUUUGGCGAUAAACGUCGGUUGCCCAAACCGAGAAAAAAAAAUCACUGAAUAAAAUCACCAGCUUGGCGAAUGAGGAAGAAGAAACCUAGAUUUAAAGGGUCACGGAGAGCGACAAAAAUAUGGUUAAAAGUUGAGCAGAGAAACAAAUAAUUUUUUUAUAUUACUUCAAUUCCGUUGGCGACGUACGUAUGUUGGCAUGAAUUGAGGAUGGAUGGAGGAAAGGUCUCACUCAUCCUCAGCUUGAGCAAUCAACAUUUUGCCAGACUCGCUGCUUUACACGACGACGGGUGGCCCAGCCCAGCAAAUAAAACAAAACAAAUAGGGAUGCGUCUCACAUUGGAUUGAUUCAGCCGAGAAGAAGAUACAAUUCUUACACAUGAUAAAUACAAAUACAUGCAAAGUAGAUACACAAUAA
Folsomia candida is the source of this 812-nucleotide long non-coding RNA. RefSeq lists it as uncharacterized. NCBI's taxonomy places the organism in Eukaryota, Metazoa, Arthropoda, Collembola, Entomobryomorpha, Isotomidae. The transcript has 2 exons. The record is from RefSeq and is a predicted model, not a curated record.